UCAUAGGAUGUGUGGAGGCUUUGGAUUCCCCACACUGAGCAUGGUCUGUCUGGCUGCACUCCUCAGAGAAGGUGGUGCAUGUCCAUUCACCAUGAGGUCCCUUGCCGCCUUCUGUCAUGUCCUUGUAUGAGGAAUGUGCAACCCUGAAGGAUGUGUAGAAGACAUUGGAGUUGUCCUGCUGUUGAUCGAGACCCCUUGCUGUGCUGCUGUGGUGUGGCAUGGGGAAGAUCCGGGUCUAGAACAUGGGGUACAGUGAGGACCUGAUAACAUGCCUAGUGAAUCCCUCACUGCGCUCUUAGACAGGGUAGGCAAAUCCACAUGCCGUCAAGUACAAGCACAUUCAUCUCAUGGCCCAUGGAAAGAAACAGAAGUAUCCACAUGGGACGGUCUUGAGGGGAAGUUGCCUGGCAGGCCUAUCUUCGCCUGGGCAUAUGUGGUUCCCGAUGACCAGAAGUGUCAUGGAAUCCUGCAAGCCUCAUGUCCUCCCAGUGAUCUCCAGC
Long non-coding RNA from Chinchilla lanigera (long-tailed chinchilla), 500 nucleotides. RefSeq lists it as uncharacterized. The transcript is spliced from 3 exons. Lineage: Eukaryota; Metazoa; Chordata; Mammalia; Rodentia; Chinchillidae. The record is from RefSeq and is a predicted model, not a curated record.